UGCAGUCGAGCGGUAGCACAGAGAGCUUGCUCUCGGGUGACGAGCGGCGGACGGGUGAGUAAUGUCUGGGAAACUGCCUGAUGGAGGGGGAUAACUACUGGAAACGGUAGCUAAUACCGCAUAACGUCGCAAGACCAAAGUGGGGGACCUUCGGGCCUCAUGCCAUCAGAUGUGCCCAGAUGGGAUUAGCUAGUAGGUGGGGUAACGGCUCACCUAGGCGACGAUCCCUAGCUGGUCUGAGAGGAUGACCAGCCACACUGGAACUGAGACACGGUCCAGACUCCUACGGGAGGCAGCAGUGGGGAAUAUUGCACAAUGGGCGCAAGCCUGAUGCAGCCAUGCCGCGUGUGUGAAGAAGGCCUUCGGGUUGUAAAGCACUUUCAGCGGGGAGGAAGGCGUUAAGGUUAAUAACCUUGGCGAUUGACGUUACCCGCAGAAGAAGCACCGGCUAACUCCGUGCCAGCAGCCGCGGUAAUACGGAGGGUGCAAGCGUUAAUCGGAAUUACUGGGCGUAAAGCGCACGCAGGCGGUCUGUCAAGUCGGAUGUGAAAUCCCCGGGCUCAACCUGGGAACUGCAUUCGAAACUGGCAGGCUAGAGUCUUGUAGAGGGGGGUAGAAUUCCAGGUGUAGCGGUGAAAUGCGUAGAGAUCUGGAGGAAUACCGGUGGCGAAGGCGGCCCCCUGGACAAAGACUGACGCUCAGGUGCGAAAGCGUGGGGAGCAAACAGGAUUAGAUACCCUGGUAGUCCACGCCGUAAACGAUGUCGAUUUGGGAGGUUGUGCCCUUGAGGCGUGGCUUCCGGAGCUAACGCGUUAAAUCGACCGCCUGGGGAGUACGGCCGCAAGGUUAAAACUCAAAUGAAUUGACGGGGGCCCGCACAAGCGGUGGAGCAUGUGGUUUAAUUCGAUGCAACGCGAAGAACCUUACCUGGUCUUGACAUCCACGUGACUUUCCAGAGAUGGAUUGGUGCCUUCGGGAACUGUGAGACAGGUGCUGCAUGGCUGUCGUCAGCUCGUGUUGUGAAAUGUUGGGUUAAGUCCCGCAACGAGGGCAACCCUUAUCCUUUGUUGCCAGCGGUUAAGGCCGGGAACUCAAAGGAAACUGCCAGUGAUAACUU
RNAcentral lists this ribosomal RNA (1117 nucleotides) under Klebsiella sp. RNAcentral's name for it is "bacterial SSU rRNA". It matches the Rfam family "Bacterial small subunit ribosomal RNA", at positions 56 to 1164 of the family's 1533-position model. The record is from RNAcentral. Lineage: Bacteria; Pseudomonadati; Pseudomonadota; Gammaproteobacteria; Enterobacterales; Enterobacteriaceae.